Xiphophorus hellerii (green swordtail) is the source of this 148-nucleotide long non-coding RNA. RefSeq lists it as uncharacterized. Lineage: Eukaryota; Metazoa; Chordata; Actinopteri; Cyprinodontiformes; Poeciliidae. The record is from RefSeq and is a predicted model, not a curated record. The transcript has 3 exons.
GUUUGUAUGUGUAAGAAUGCAGAAGUGAAACAUAACCUGUAAACUGCUGUCAAUCUAUGCAUCUAUUUGCAAAUCUGAUUCUGAUGACGUCAGUGCCUCACCAGCUAUGAACCUCACCGCACGUCACUGCUAAGUUGAUUUGUAAACU